Molecule: long non-coding RNA, 589 nt
Organism: Homo sapiens (human)
Lineage: Eukaryota; Metazoa; Chordata; Mammalia; Primates; Hominidae
Gene: SATB1-AS1
Product: SATB1 antisense RNA 1
Source: Ensembl
GGGAGCUUAGAUGUGGAAGCUCUUUGGAAACCAAGAAACACUCUGAAAAUGAAAAGGCAUAAGAAUGUUUAUCACAGCAUGGCAUAUAUUGGAAGUUUAGUAAAUGAAGAUACAUCCAAUCUGACAUUCUAUUCACAACCACAAAGAGAUAAUGUAGAAACAUAUUUAGUAAUGUGAGAAAAUACUAAAUAUUAAGUGAAAAAGUGUACAAAAAGGGAAUUGAAGAGGAAGUCAAAUAAAGAAAAGAAAAUACUACCCGUGCAACUUGCAACAUGUACGGCCUGUGUCACCACACAAUCUGUGAAUAAUAAGAAGUUACUUUAAAUAAUACUUCAGCAGUUAUCUCAAUCAUGUGAUUUGUUUGAACUUCCAAGGCUAAUACUUUCAGCUCAACAGUUAUCUAUAUUAUAACAUACCGUAAUGCCUUAUGGAGAGUUAAAAAUUCUCAUUUCAACUGUCCUCUUCUGCAAAGCUUUAAUAAGUAAUGCAAAAAACUCACCCCCUUUCAUGUAUUGAUGAAUAUAGGUAGAUAAAAAUUUUAGAGGGAAAAAUAGGGGCUGGGUCACCAAUAUGAGAACAUAGAUAAGUA